CGUUCUAUGGCCGAACUGGUGAACGCAGCGACGAUCACAGGCGAAGAUGCGGGUUCGAGUCCCGCUGGAACGG
Molecule: transfer RNA, 73 nt
Filed under: Operophtera brumata (winter moth)
Lineage: Eukaryota; Metazoa; Arthropoda; Insecta; Lepidoptera; Geometridae
Rfam family: tRNA
About the family: Transfer RNA (tRNA) molecules are approximately 80 nucleotides in length. Their secondary structure includes four short double-helical elements and three loops (D, anti-codon, and T loops).
Source: Rfam by way of RNAcentral